GGCUCCGUAGCUUGAAGGAAAAAAGCGCCCGUCUAGGGAAUUGGAAGUCGUGGGUUCGAUUCCCACCUGAUUUU
Aedes albopictus (Asian tiger mosquito) is the source of this 74-nucleotide non-coding RNA. Lineage: Eukaryota; Metazoa; Arthropoda; Insecta; Diptera; Culicidae. The record is from Rfam.